This 321-nucleotide ribosomal RNA is filed under the name uncultured eukaryote. Its description in RNAcentral is "partial 18S ribosomal RNA". It matches the Rfam family "Eukaryotic small subunit ribosomal RNA", at positions 1470 to 1796 of the family's 1831-position model. The record is from RNAcentral.
CCCUUAGAUGUUCUGGGCCGCACGCGCGCUACACUGAUGAACGCAACGAGACCACCUGUACCGAAAGGCAUGGGUAAACUUGUGAAAGUUCAUCGUGAUGGGGAUAGAUUAUUGCAAUUAUUAAUCUUCGACGAGGAAUUCCUAGUAAGCGCGAGUCAUCAGCUCGCGUUGAUUACGUCCCUGCCCUUUGUACACACCGCCCGUCGCUCCUACCGAUUGAAUGGUCCGGUGAAAUCUUCGGAUUGCUGGAUAGGACUUCAUUGACCUAUCUGCGAGAAGUUGCUUGAACCUUAUCAUUUAGAGGAAGGAGAANUCGUANCA